GUCGAGCGGGUGUAGCAAUACACCAGCGGCAGACGGGUGAGUAACGCGUGGGAACGUACCUUUUGGUUCGGAACAACACAGGGAAACUUGUGCUAAUACCGGAUAAGCCCUUACGGGGAAAGAUUUAUCGCCGAAAGAUCGGCCCGCGUCUGAUUAGCUAGUUGGUGAGGUAACGGCUCACCAAGGCGACGAUCAGUAGCUGGUCUGAGAGGAUGAUCAGCCACAUUGGGACUGAGACACGGCCCAAACUCCUACGGGAGGCAGCAGUGGGGAAUAUUGGACAAUGGGGGCAACCCUGAUCCAGCCAUGCCGCGUGAGUGAUGAAGGCCCUAGGGUUGUAAAGCUCUUUUGUGCGGGAAGAUAAUGACGGUACCGCAAGAAUAAGCCCCGGCUAACUUCGUGCCAGCAGCCGCGGUAAUACGAAGGGGGCUAGCGUUGCUCGGAAUCACUGGGCGUAAAGGGUGCGUAGGCGGGUCUUUAAGUCAGGGGUGAAAUCCUGGAGCUCAACUCCAGAACUGCCUUUGAUACUGAAGAUCUUGAGUCCGGGAGAGGUGAGUGGAACUGCGAGUGUAGAGGUGAAAUUCGUAGAUAUUCGCAAGAACACCAGUGGCGAAGGCGGCUCACUGGCCC
RNAcentral lists this ribosomal RNA (630 nucleotides) under uncultured Alphaproteobacteria bacterium. RNAcentral describes it as "bacterial SSU rRNA". It matches the Rfam family "Bacterial small subunit ribosomal RNA", at positions 61 to 735 of the family's 1533-position model. The record is from RNAcentral. Lineage: Bacteria; Pseudomonadati; Pseudomonadota; Alphaproteobacteria.